CAUAUCAAUAAGCGGAGGAAAAGAAACCAACAGGGAUUGCCUCAGUAACGGCGAGUGAAGCGGCAAAAGCUCAGAUUUGAAAUCUGGCGUCAUUUUGGCGUCCGAGUUGUAAUCUGUAGAGGAGUAUUCGAGUGUGGCGCUGGCUUAAGUUCCUUGGAACAGGACGUCAUAGAGGGUGAGAACCCCGUUAACGGCCUUUGUCUUAUGCUCAUGUGAAUCUCCUUCAACGAGUCGAGUUGUUUGGGAAUGCAGCUCUAAAUGGGUGGUAAAUUCCAUCUAAAGCUAAAUACUGGCAAGAGACCGAUAGCGCACAAGUAGAGUGAUCGAAAGAUGAAAAGAACUCUGAACAGAGAGUUAAAUAGUACGUGAAAUUGUUGAAAGGGAAGCACUUGCUACCAGACACGCCUGUAGUUGAUCAACCUCCAUUCUUGGUGGUGCACUCAGCUAUAGGUGGGUCAGCAUCAGUUAUGGCGGUGGGAUAAAGACUUGGGGAAUGUGGCUUCUCUCGGGAAGUGUUAUAGCCCUGAGUGUAAUACCAUCUGCUAUGACUGAGGACCGCGCUUCGGCGAGGAUGCUGGCAUAAUGGUCGUAAGUGACCCGUCUUGAAACACGGACCAAGGAGUCUAACAUCUAUGCGAGUGUUUGGGUGUCAAAACCCUUACGCGGAAUGAAA
RNAcentral lists this ribosomal RNA (673 nucleotides) under Peziza sublaricina. RNAcentral's name for it is "partial large subunit ribosomal RNA". It matches the Rfam family "Eukaryotic large subunit ribosomal RNA", at positions 39 to 724 of the family's 3401-position model. Lineage: Eukaryota; Fungi; Ascomycota; Pezizomycetes; Pezizales; Pezizaceae. The record is from RNAcentral.